RNAcentral lists this ribosomal RNA (468 nucleotides) under uncultured bacterium. RNAcentral's name for it is "partial 16S ribosomal RNA". It matches the Rfam family "Bacterial small subunit ribosomal RNA", at positions 28 to 507 of the family's 1533-position model. The record is from RNAcentral.
GACGAACGCUGGCGGCGUGCUUAACACAUGCAAGUCGAACGGAAAGGCCCUGCUUUUGUGGGGUGCUCGAGUGGCGAACGGGUGAGUAACACGUGAGUAACCUGCCCUUGACUUUGGGAUAACUUCAGGAAAAUGGGGCUAAUACCGGAUAGGAGAUCCUGCUGCAUGGUGGGGGAUGGAAAGUGUCGGCGGUGGGGGCUGGACUCGCGGCUUAUCAGCUUGUUGGUGGGGUAGUGGCUUACCAAGGCUUUGACGGGUAGCCGGCCUGAGAGGGUGACCGGCCACCUUGGGCCUGCGAUACGGCCCAGACUCCUACGGGCGGCAGCAGUGGGGAAUAUUGCACAAUGGGCGGAAGCCUGAUGCAGCAACGCCGCGUGCGGGAUGACGGCCUUCGGGUUGUAAACCGCUUUCGCCUGUGACGAAGCGUGAGUGACGGUAAUGGGUAAAGAAGCACCGGCUAACUACGUG